GGGAGGUAGUGACAAUAAAUAACAAUACAGGGUCCUUAUGGGUCUUGUAAUUGGAAUGAGUACAAUUUAAAUCCCUUAACGAGGAACAGUUGGAGGGCAAGUCUGGUGCCAGCAGCCGCGGUAAUUCCAGCUCCAAUAGCGUAUAUUAAAGUUGUUGCAGUUAAAAAGCUCGUAGUUGAAUUUCGGGGUCAGUAGGUUGGUCGUGCCAUUGGUAUGUACUGGCCUUACUGAUUCCUCCUUCUUGAAGAACUGUGAUGUCAUUUAUUUGGUGUUGCAGGGAAACAGGACUGUUACUUUGAAAAAAUUAGAGUGUUUAAAGCAGGCUAACGCUUGAACACAUUAGCAUGGAAUAAUGAAAUAGGACGUUUGAUCCUAUUUUGUUGGUUUCUAGGAUUGACGUAAUGAUUAAUAGGGAUAGUUGGG
Molecule: ribosomal RNA, 423 nt
Filed under: uncultured Glomeraceae
Lineage: Eukaryota; Fungi; Glomeromycota; Glomeromycetes; Glomerales; Glomeraceae
Description: SSU rRNA
Rfam family: Eukaryotic small subunit ribosomal RNA
Source: RNAcentral